Sycon ciliatum is the source of this 621-nucleotide long non-coding RNA. RefSeq lists it as uncharacterized. The record is from RefSeq and is a predicted model, not a curated record. Lineage: Eukaryota; Metazoa; Porifera; Calcarea; Leucosolenida; Sycettidae. The transcript has 3 exons.
UCACGCUCUAUCCUAAUCUAGCUCAGUAUAACAUCAAUACCAUCCAUGGAUAAUCAGGCAGUUGAUCUUUAUAAGCAGAGCUGAACAGUUGAAAACAUAUUUUCUAAGUAGGAACAAUCAUCAUGGGUUGCUGUCAGGGAAUAGGGCGACGUUCUGAGGUUCAGAGACUGGAGACCCGUUCUCAUCGUGCCACAAGGGACAUGGCCAGCCCUACGCUGCGCGGGGCAUUUGAGCACUGGGAUGGAGAGAAGCCAGCCUCACCGGAACUUGAGGAUCUGCGGCAUUUAAUCUGGAGCUUGGAUAACAGCAGAUAUAUGUACGUGAAGAGCACGAUGAUCAAGAAGCCGAAAGGGCGUCGUCUUUCCUUCUUGGCAGAAUGAUUGUGUAAUAGCCUUCACUGACAUUAAAAUUUUGAUAUGUGUGCGAUACAAACAGGAGACACUUGGCAGACGGACUGUUCACUUUAUCCAUAUUAGUAGUACUUGUACAUGUUGUCUGAUGUUGACUGUUCACCGGCAAUCGGAUUGCUUAAAAAUUGUAUCAUGAGCUUGUUAUUCCAUUUGAGUUUUGGUAUACGUUGACUAUUGUCAGGCAGCCUGUUUGCUUGAUUCUCUUCAUCUG